UACGGGGGGGGCAAGCGUUGUUCGGAAUUACUGGGCGUAAAGGGUUCGUAGGCGGCUUGCUAAGUCAGACGUGAAAUCCCUCAGCUUAACUGGGGAACUGCGUCUGAUACUGGCGAGCUUGAGUGCAGGAGAGGAACGCAGAAUUCCAGGUGUAGCGGUGAAAUGCGUAGAUAUCUGGAGGAAUACCGGUGGCGAAGGCGGCGUUCUGGACUGCAACUGACACUGAUGAACGAAAGCCAGGGGAGCAAACGGG
RNAcentral lists this ribosomal RNA (253 nucleotides) under uncultured bacterium. Its description in RNAcentral is "partial 16S ribosomal RNA". It matches the Rfam family "Bacterial small subunit ribosomal RNA", at positions 524 to 776 of the family's 1533-position model. The record is from RNAcentral.